This 481-nucleotide ribosomal RNA is filed under the name uncultured bacterium. Its description in RNAcentral is "partial 16S ribosomal RNA". It matches the Rfam family "Bacterial small subunit ribosomal RNA", at positions 30 to 507 of the family's 1533-position model. The record is from RNAcentral.
UUGAACGCUGGCGGCAUGCCUUACACAUGCAAGUCGAACGGUAACGGGCCUUCGGGUGCCGACGAGUGGCGAACGGGUGAGUAAUACAUCGGAACGUGCCCGAUCGUGGGGGAUAACGAGGCGAAAGCUUUGCUAAUACCGCAUACGAUCUACGGAUGAAAGCAGGGGACCGCAAGGCCUUGCGCGGACGGAGCGGCCGAUGGCAGAUUAGGUAGUUGGUGGGAUAAAAGCUUACCAAGCCGACGAUCUGUAGCUGGUCUGAGAGGAUGAUCAGCCACACUGGGACUGAGACACGGCCCAGACUCCUACGGGAGGCAGCAGUGGGGAAUUUUGGACAAUGGGCGCAAGCCUGAUCCAGCCAUGCCGCGUGCAGGAUGAGGGCCUUCGGGUUGUAAACUGCUUUUGUACGGAACGAAAAGCCUUCUUUUAAUACAGGAGGGUCAUGACGGUACCGUAAGAAUAAGCACCGGCUAACUACGUG